RNAcentral lists this ribosomal RNA (609 nucleotides) under Triticum aestivum (bread wheat). RNAcentral describes it as "partial small subunit ribosomal RNA". Lineage: Eukaryota; Viridiplantae; Streptophyta; Magnoliopsida; Poales; Poaceae. The record is from RNAcentral.
AUGGCUCAUCGGGGGAAGGCUAAGAUCCAAUGGAUCGCCGACGCAGCGAAGCGCAAGGCAACAAUGAGGAAGGGUCUACUCAUGCUUGCAAACAAGGCUCAAGAGCUUGCGAUUCUUUGUAACAUCCAAACUUGUCUCUUGUGGUACCUUCCUGGCGAGGCCCAGAUGGAAGUGCUCUGGCCAUCGUUGAAGGAAGCUAAAGAGAUCCUGCAGUGGUAUGACGAGAGGCUCGAAUCAAAAAAUUCCAAGAAUAAGAAGGAAGACACAAGCUUCAUCCAAGAGAUAUUCAACAAGGGGAAGGAAACGUUUUUGGAAGUCCAGUGGCAGAACUGUGACCUGGGGAUCAAGGAUGUGCUCAGUGACCUCUUCGUCAGCGACCAUCGGGGCCUUGAUGACAUGCCUGAUCACAUGUCCCUCGUCCUCAAAUGGAGGGUGAAGAAGUACCUCAUGGAUGUCAACACACGCCUCGAGAAACUCCGUUCAGGCUCCGCACAUGCAUUGCAUCUAUCACAACAGCAAAGCCUUGACACUGGCUAUGCUGCCACCUCGUAUUGCAUAGGUGAACAUCACUCCAGUGCUGCCAAAGACCGAGGUGAUGUCAAUGGUUGA